ACAUGGAGGCAGCACGCGGUGCCGGGGGGACCCAACGCGGAGCGGACUCGCAGGGCCUGUGCUUUUUCCUUUGGAAAUGAGAUCUCGGUUUUAAAAUAGUUACAGAUAUCCACUAAGAAUUCAUUCCCUUGAAGUCCAGUAACUCCUGUUAGGGAUAUUUAUCAACAAGCCAGCGUGGAAUGUAAAUAUUUACUCAAUCUCUGGAAGCCGUGUAAUCACCAGGUGUUUGUAAGGAUUCCCACUGACGGGAGAUUAGAAGGGACUUUGGUUCGAUUCUCUGUGCCAGGGAUGACCCUGAAGAGGCCCCUGAGGAAGCGAAACCCUCCCCUGCCCAGCUGCAGAAGGAUCGCGCCGCCGGGUCUCCUGCGGUGUGGACGGGCCUCUCCAGUGUGUGCCAGCCUCCAAUACCCCCGCGUCACCUGCGGUGUGGACGGGCCUCUCCAGUGUGUGCCAGCCUCCAAUACCCCCGCGUCACCUGCGGUGUGGACGGGCCUCUCCAGUGUGUGCCAGCCUCCAAUACCCCCGCGUCACCUGCGGUGUGGACGGGCCUCUCCAGUGUGUGCCAGCCUCCAAUACCCCCGCGUCACCUGCGGUGUGGACGGGCCUCUCCAGUGUGUGCCAGCCUCCAAUACCCCCGCGUCACCUGCGGUGUGGACGGGCCUCUCCAGUGUGUGCCAGCCUCCAAUACCCCCGCGUCACCUGCAGUAUGGAUGGGCCUCUCCAGUGUGUGCCAGCCUCCAAUACCCCUGUGUCACCUGCGGUGUGGAUGGGCCUCUCCAGUGUCUGCCAGCCUCCAAUACCCCCGCGUCACCUGCGGUGUGGACGGGCCUCUCCAGUGUGUGCCAGCCUCCAAUACCCCCGCGUCACCUGCGGUGUGGACGGGCCUCUCCAGUGUGUGCCAGCCUCCAAUACCCCCGCGUCACCUGCGGUGUGGACGGGCCUCUCCAGUGUGUACCAGCCUCCAAUACCCCCAUGUCUCCUGCGGUGUGGACGGGCCUCUCCAGUGUGUACCAGCCUCCAAUACCCCCGCGUCACCUGCGGUGUGGAUGGGCCUCUCCAGUGUGUUCCAGCCUCCAAUACCCCCGUGUCACCUGCGGUGUGGACGGGCCUCUCCAGUGUGUGCCAGCCUCCAAUACCCCCAUGUCUCCUGCGGUGUGGACGGGCCUCUCCAGUGUGUACCAGCCUCCAAUACCCCCGCGUCACCUGCGGUGUGGACGGGCCUCUCCAGUGUGUGCCAGCCUCCAAUACCCCCGCGUCACCUGCGGUGUGGACGGGCCUCUCCAGUGUGUGCCAGCCUCCAAUACCCCCAUGUCUCCUGCGGUGUGGACGGGCCUCUCCAGUGUGUACCAGCCUCCAAUACCCCCGCGUCACCUGCAGUAUGGAUGGGCCUCUCCAGUGUGUGCCAGCCUCCAAUACCCCUGUGUCACCUGCGGUGUGGAUGGGCCUCUCCAGUGUCUGCCAGCCUCCAAUACCCCCGCGUCACCUGCGGUGUGGACGGGCCUCUCCAGUGUGUGCCAGCCUCCAAUACCCCCGCGUCACCUGCGGUGUGGACGGGCCUCUCCAGUGUGUGCCAGCCUCCAAUACAGUCUUGUCCUUCAACGAGGUCUUAGGGACAAGGUACAGGGGCAAUUAUCUUGCAUUCACAGCAACAAAUAAGUCAGUAUGAUGAACUUUCUACUGUGGUCAGCUGGAAAAUUUCAUCCUUGUCAGCGGGCACACAAAGACCUUCCUUAGUUCCCAGUUAAAAAGAAAAGGAAAAACAGGAACUGUCGGCCCGGGUGUGUGCAUGUAGCCCAGGGGCCCCACAAAGACUGACCCGGCUUCCAUCCCUGAGGCCCCGCAGAGACUGUCCCGGCUUCCAUCCUGAGGCCCGCAGAGCACUAGGCUGGGGGUGCGCCUGGGCAGGAGGCUGCACGGCAAAGGCACGGGGUGUGCCAUGGAGUUUCCCCGGGAGCCGCAGCCCUGCCCACUCUACAGGGCCCCCGGGAAGUGACUGCCUUGCCAGACAACGGAAUCCAGGGCCCAGCCACGGACAAUCAGGGGAAGGCGUGGAGGGAGCGAGGAGAGACGGGAGCCGGGCAUUGGAGGGAUUACCAGGAGGCGUUUGCUGAGAGGCACAGGCUGAGCCCCCGUGCUGAUGCCACGACCGAGGGAACGGGUCUCCCUGUCGGCGUGAACUGACCCGGCCAGGCGUCCACUGCCACUCGGACUGUCUCCCAGGCACGUGGCGCCCACACGGGCAGAACACGCCCUCCACACACGCGGCUUCGGGCAGAACACGAGGCGCCCUCCACACACGCGGCUUCGGGGCUUGUCAUGAAAAAAGCUGAAUGCUGGGGGUGCAGCUUUCACCAACAGAAUCCCGUUUGGAAGGGACGCGAGUGACGCUCCGUGUUUCGUUCAGCCUGCAGGCCUGCAGAAGCUGCAUCUCGGGAUGGCCAAGAGCCCGGCCAGGCCCCACGGCUGCACCCAGGACGGGAUUCAUGCCCCAUGCCUGGCUUCUCACGACCACAGAGUGCCUUUCCCGGGACUGGAUGGAGGCAGAGUGAGAGAAGAGCCUGGAGCAAGUGUUUUGGACCACAGUGAUCAAACACGGAGCCCGUGGGAGGACGUGGGAGGACGUGCGGGGCUUUGCCGGGCGAGCCCGAUGCUGCUCACGGCACCUGGAGUGUUCGGGCCGCUAUUUGGGCGGUGUUCUGAGCAGCCGUCAGACCUUGAGUUUUGCUGUCAAAAGCUCUUCUCUCCUGCCCCGAAAUAUACCCAGUCCAUGCCCCAAGAGGAAAGGCCUUUGUGCCAGGUGGGCACCCGGCUGCCUCUUGGCAAAGACUUGUUGGAAAAAUGAGUGAGUGACGAGGCUGCUGGUCAGCGUGUGGCCUGUGGCGUCACUGGGGCCUCUGGCGGCUGCUGGAACCAGAAGAGGAGCCUGCGCUGCAACCCAGGCCGCACCACAUCAGGGUCUCACUGGGAGCCGGAGAGCUUGUUCCCAGGCAACCCUGAAACAGAGAAGUGUCCUUGGAGGCUUCACCCACGCAGACCCACGGCUUCCUGGUAGAAGCCGUCUGCACCCCCGCACUGACCUGGCUCUGUGAGGAGAGCGGGGAGGGGCUCCAGGGAAACAUCCUGGCGUUGGCGUAGCCAGCCUGUGAGUCACGGGGAAGCCGGCUGCCCGGAUGCCCCCCAAGGACCCGGUGAGUCCACACACAGUACAGCAGGGCCUGGGCCCGCACCACCGCCUUUUCCUGCAGGCCCCUCAUGUCCACUGACUGCACCUCCAGGGACUCUGCCCGGCAACCCAGGCGCCCCCGACACACCCCACCACACAGCUCCUUCUGCCUCACCCACACCCCGCCAGACCCUGAGCGCUCACGAAGUCUCCUUGUCAAGAACUUUGAGAGCCAGUUGCUAAACACAGAUGUUAUUUAUUUAUUUGAGACAGAGUCUUGCUCUGUCACCCAGGCUGGAGUGCAGUGGCACGAUCUCA
Long non-coding RNA from Homo sapiens (human), 3481 nucleotides. RefSeq annotates it as proline-rich protein 36-like. NCBI's taxonomy places the organism in Eukaryota, Metazoa, Chordata, Mammalia, Primates, Hominidae. The transcript is spliced from 3 exons. The record is from RefSeq and is a predicted model, not a curated record.